This 294-nucleotide ribosomal RNA is filed under the name uncultured bacterium. RNAcentral describes it as "partial 16S ribosomal RNA". It matches the Rfam family "Bacterial small subunit ribosomal RNA", at positions 796 to 1041 of the family's 1533-position model. The record is from RNAcentral.
CUAGCCGUAAACGAUGUCCGCUAGUUGCUUGAGAGUAAUCUUAGGUGACGAAGGUAACCCAUUAAGCGGACCGCCUGGGAAGUACGAUCGCAAGAUUGAAACUCAAAGGAAUUGGCGGGGAGGCGCACAACCAGUGGAGCAUGCGGUUUAAUUCGAUACAAAGCGAAGAACCUUACCUGGGUUUGACAUCCAGCCGUUUACUCUCUUGGAAACAGGAGAGGAUCCCCUCAAGGGCGGAAGCAAAUGGAAAUCCGAAAAAGCUUUUGCUUUUGAGGGGGAUGGCUGGACAGCUAC